GACGAACGCUGGCGGCGUGCCUAAUACAUGCAAGUCGAGCGGACGGAUGGGAGCUUGCUCCCAGACCGUCAGCGGCGGACGGGUGAGUAACACGUGGGCAACCUGCCUGUAAGACUGGGAUAACUCCGGGAAACCGGGGCUAAUACCGGAUAACUCUUUCCCUCACAUGAGGGAAAGCUGAAAGAUGGCAUCUCGCUAUCACUUACAGAUGGGCCCGCGGCGCAUUAGCUAGUUGGUGAGGUAACGGCUCACCAAGGCGACGAUGCGUAGCCGACCUGAGAGGGGGAUCGGCCACACUGGGACUGAGACACGGCCCAGACUCCUACGGGAGGCAGCAGUAGGGAAUCUUCCGCAAUGGGCGAAAGUCUGACGGAGCAACGCCGCGUGAGUGAUGAAGGUUUUCGGAUCGUAAAACUCUGUUGUCAGGGAAGAACAAGUACCGGAGUAACUGCCGGUACCUUGACGGUACCUGACCAGAAAGCCACGGCUAACUACGUG
This 498-nucleotide ribosomal RNA is filed under the name uncultured bacterium. RNAcentral's name for it is "partial 16S ribosomal RNA". It matches the Rfam family "Bacterial small subunit ribosomal RNA", at positions 28 to 507 of the family's 1533-position model. The record is from RNAcentral.